This 69-nucleotide non-coding RNA is filed under the name unclassified sequences. The record is from Rfam.
GGCGCGUGCCUUGCUAUAGACCCACCCAGGUAAUCAACGCUGAUUGCCCAUCCACGACAAAGACGCCGU